GUGAACAAUAGAAGGCAGCAUCCACGUGACCCUGCGUUCCCGGAUGUUAGUUCCCUAAGUUGGUUUCCAACUGUCUCUAUGGGGCCACUGAAUACCUAGUGUGUCACGUGAUUGGGGAGGUUUCUUCCCUGUAUUGCUGCCGGAUUAUGCAACAACCCUAGUGCGUGCAAUGUCGGAAUGGCGCACGUCUGUGAUCGAGCUGCCAUCGGCGAUGACGAUCGUCGCUGCGAAUUCUGCAGCAAACUAUUCAUACAGAGGAAGAACAUGCUGCAACACAUCAGGAACGUUCACAAAAUGGCCGUGGAUGUCAAGAAAUUGAUGAAAUGCGACGUAUGUGGCACUUCCCUGCCUACAAUGGAGAAGUAUUCGGUGCACCAGAUCGCUGCGCACAACUUCGAGGCUGAUUACGUGCACCCGGUGUUCCGGAACAAUAAGGAAUUUCAUGAAUGGAAAGCAAAAGAAUAGGGUAGCCAAAACUGCUGGUUCAUUUUGCCCAGGGACCCCAAAAAGCUGGCCAGUGGAGAAACAAGGAUCCACUAUUACUGUAAUAGAUCAGGCGAGGCAAGGAAAAAGGAAGGUCAUAGUGACCGUCGGGAGAAAAGUCAGGGGAGCUGUAGGUCUGGUAAGAUAUGUCUUUCAUUUAUUACCGUCACAAUUACCGUCCGACACCUGAAGGCACCACCAUAAAAGUCAGGUAUCAAAGAAACCAUUACGGUCAUAAACCAGAAAUUCAGCACUUGAGAAUGAGUGACAAGGAAAAGGCCAGCGUAGCAGAGAACCUAGAAAGGGGUAUGCCCAUGAAAACCAUUCUAAAGCGAGUAAGAACAUCUGUGGCAUCCAAGCUGAGGCCCGUGCACUUGGCAGAGUGCUCAACCCUGCAUAACAUCAAACAGCAGUUUAACAUUGCUGCUCCUGAACAUUGUCACACUAAUGACGCUAUCAGUGUAGACAUGUGGGUGCUUGUGAUGAAAGAAAAAGGUGAAACACUUGUCCGCCUGUACAAGGCACAAGGUGCAGUGGACCCAAGUGGUACAUUUCCUUCAGCAGACUUUGCUCUUGUUCUGAUGACAGUCUCAGAAGGAGCUACUAGAAAAAUUGGGCCCUGCAGGUACUGUAUGUCUUGACUCCACACAUGGAACUACAGAGUACCAGUUUGAGCUGACCACUCUUCUGGUGCUAGAUAAAAUAGGAUCAGGUGUAGCUAUAGCUUAUUUCAUCUGCAACCGGAUGAACGAGCAAACUUUGACAGCAUUCUUCAAAUAUCUGGAGUUGGCCAUGGCCAAAAAAGUGGCUGCUAAGACAUUGAUAUCUGAUGAUGCGUCGCAAUUCUACAAAGCAUGGUCCAUGGUCAUGGGUGCCGCAAAACAGAAACUUCUCAGUGCCUGGCAUGUGGAUAACAAUUGGCAUAAGAAGAUACUCGAGUGUGUAGAGAAACAGCUAAGGCCACAUGUUUACCAUAGUGUGUGGCUACUCUUAGAGUUCCUCGCGGAAAAGGCAUUUGAAGAUUAUUUUAAGCAAUUCCUUUCUAGUGAGGGAGAAAAACUGAGGGACUUCCUGAAGUACUUCAAUGACCACUAUGCAGUUAGGCCGCAAGAGUGGGCCUAUUGCUUUAGGACUAGAGCAGCUGUCAACACUAACAUGCACCUUGAGAGCAAGCGCAGGACGUUAAAGCAUACUAUGCUGGAGAGAAAACAGAAUAAGCAUGGUGACAAACUUAUUUCUGCCCUCAUGGACUUGACAAAUCAUUUUUUAAUGAAAAGGGCUAUCCAGAUGAUGAAAGGGGCAAAGGGUAAGAAGCUGAGCAGAAUUCAGAAGAACCACAGGUCUGGCAGUGAAAUGGCAGCUUGAGCCAAAUUAAAUGAAGAUGGCUGUGCCAAAUUAAAUGAAGAUGGCAUAUAGACUGUGCCAUCUCAGUCUAUUAAAGGGCUCUCAUAUAAAGUGUCAAAAGUGGGAGAUGGUGCUUGCUGUCCUUUGAGGUGUAAGGAAUGUGCAGUGUGUGUGCAUACUUACAUGUGCACUUGCUAUGACCAUCUUAUACACUUUACAGUGUGCAAGCACAUUCACUGUGUGGUCAUCGCUAAUCCAACUAGCAGCAACAAGGCCCAUGAGAGCUCACCCGAAGAAGCAUGUGAGGCAAGUCGGGCAUUGCACAUUGUACAGAGUAUAACAAAGCUGGAAGCAGCCAAAGCAGUGUAAAGCUCAGCACUCUUAAGAGCAAAAAUGGACUCGGUCAGACAGGCAAUAUCAGAUGGUGAAGUCUCUGAGGGUGUGGCUGAGAAGGCAAACAAUUUGUUUGAGCCAGUUUUCAUGCUUGUUGAAAGUGAAAGUGACCCAAAAAGAAAGAUGCCAGACCAUUCAAAUGAACCAGCCAACAAAAAAGUUGUGCACCUGUUAAGAUUUCACUCUACAAAAAACCCUAGAUUGUCGCAGCCAUCAUCUAGCCUUUCAAGGCCCACUGAAGUUCAAAAGGAAGUCCUUAAAUAACAGCUUAGGGACAGCAACAUAGAAACAAGAGAUAACCAUGUCAGCAGGGCACGAUUACUGGUAACAAGCCUCCAGUGCAGUUAGGAAGAGAGAAGUGGUGCAGUAGUGCUGUGCUGUCAUGCCUUAUUGAAGCAGGUUGAGGGCUCGCAUGUUAACAAAUCAUGACAUGUGGUCUCUGAUGAUUAGCCCGUCUGUUUUUGUCUGUGGUGUGCAGCCAUAUGUCACAGCUGGAUGGUAUGUGUGUUAGAGCACGAGAGAUGCCUCCAUGCUUGUUGUAUGAGCUGCUGGUAAGUGUUCUGUGAAGAUAGGUACAGACCCAGUGGUCAUCUCUGGUAUGUGGCAGCUGUUGGAUGGUAGUGUGUUAGAGCACGCCUCCAUGCUUGUCAUAUGAGCCGCUGGUAAGUAUGUCUGUACAUAGAUGUAAGGAAGUGCAUUGGAUGGUGUGUAGUGUUUCAGUGUGCAAAAGCCUCCAAUGUGUUUUGCUACUUAUAAAUUUGUGUAAACACUCAGUAGAGCAGUAGUUAUGAUGUUGCACUGUUGAGCACGAGCUUGCGGGUUCAAUCCCAGCAAAGGUGGCUGCAUUUCAGUGGUGGUGAAAUGAAAAAAAAAAAGUGUGUAGUUGAAUUUAAGUGCACAUCACAAAACCCGAGGUGGUCAAAAAUAUUACUGAGUCCCGCACUGUGGCAUGCCUCAUAAUUCGAUCUAGAUUUUGUGUUCCAUGUGAUGUUCUUAUUGCCCAUUUGAAUAAACUUUUAUUUUUCAGAUUACCAAAAUAGAGGGCAUAUGCAGUGGUAUUGUGUGCAGUCUGGAUAAGUUGCUCUGGUCAUGAGCACUCAAUUAAAUCUUCUGCAUAUUUGGCUGCAGCAGACAGUGUCAUAAUGAUUGUAAAGACUAUGCAGAAAGCUUUAGGCCACUCUACAUAUCAGAUCAGUUUUAUAUUGCAUCCCUUAUGAUGCAUCUCUUACUUGAGUAGGCAUAAUAACAAUUGGCAAUGCUUCCUUACACAUUUAAUAUUUUUCUCUUUUUCUUUUGGAAGAGUAGCCUUCGAAGAAUAAUCUACAACAGUGCUCCUACCUUCUCUUUCACUGUCUCCCCAUUUCUUUUCUACACUUCAACUUCAUUCUACGCACUUUCUUAUUCUCCUCUUCAUCCUACAUUGAGGGUGUGGGAAAGUGAGCUAAGCGUGCAUAAAGAUUGCUGUGCCGAACUUAAUUGCGGCACUGACGAAAACAAAUCUUUGUCAAAAGGUUCACUCCAGCUACAUUCCCCCUCCAAACACUGUUUAUCACUUCAAGCCUUCAUAUUCCUGUGAGCUUUUGUCUUGUUUAACAGUUGUAACAGUCAUACUAUUUAUUACUAUCAAUAGCCAGCAUACAUUUAGCACUGCAAAGGGCUGUUUAGAAGAUGUGCGAGUUUCUACUUCCCUUAUGAUAAAUACUCCAGACAUUCAGUCUCUAUUUUAUGAAAAUCUUUCAAACAUUGCCAGUGAUGACCACCAUAUAGGUUAAUGUCGGCAUGGGAUUGAGGCUUUCCCGCAAAAAGAACAGUUAUGUUGUGCUCAUAUCAUGUGACUGGCAGUUUCUGCUGUAAUUUUUGCACUUGUCAACUGCACUGUGAAGAGUUCAUUUCUGUGAAUAUGUGCUGGCCUGAUUCUUCUUGUUCACGCAUUUCAGAUCUUGUGCUAUGAGAUGAGGAGGUGUAAAAUAAAAACACCGUGUAGAUUUCACAAUGCCUUUAAGAAACCACGCGAAGCUUGGAGAUGAAGCAUUACAUGCACCUUGAACCAAGUGUCUGGACACAGCGAGUGAAAGUUGUUUUGUCAUGAGCGAGGGUGUCGGUGUUACUUGUAACUACCUUUAAAUAAAAGUUUGUUUCAAAACAGUG
This is a non-coding RNA of Dermacentor andersoni, 4368 nucleotides long. Lineage: Eukaryota; Metazoa; Arthropoda; Arachnida; Ixodida; Ixodidae. The record is from RefSeq and is a predicted model, not a curated record.